Molecule: long non-coding RNA, 1331 nt
Organism: Oncorhynchus kisutch (coho salmon)
Lineage: Eukaryota; Metazoa; Chordata; Actinopteri; Salmoniformes; Salmonidae
Exons: 2
Source: RefSeq, a predicted model, not a curated record
UGUGGACAGGUGCUGUGUAGAGAGGGUCUGACUGGGCGCUGUUACUGGGAGGUAGAGUGGAGUGGGGGAGGGGCUAUUAUAGGAGUGACAUAUAAAGGAAUCAACAGGAGAGGAAUGGGUAGGGAUUGUUGGCUUGGAUGGAAUGACAAGUCCUGGAGUCUGACCUGGUCUGACAACAGUUACUCUGCCUGUCACAAAAAUAUUACCACUACCAUAGACGUCCACCCCUCCAGCUCCCACAGAGUAGGAGUGUAUCUGGACUGGCCAGCCGGCACUCUGUCCUUCUAUAGAGCCUCCUCUGACACACUGACCCACCUGAACACAUACCACACCACAUUCACUGAACCCCUCUAUCCAGGGUUUAAGGUUUGGGGUGAUGGUGACUCAGCGUCCCUGUAAAUAAUAACCUGACACAAACACACACACACACACACACACACACAAACUGGACACACACACUGGUCACACACACUGGACACACACACAUGUACAAACACAUACACUGACCACUGACACAAACACACACACUGACACACACACUGGACAAACACACUGACACACACACUCUGGACACACUCUCACACACUGGACACACACAUCCACGUCUUCCUAUAAUUGUUGACCUUCAUGUUUAUAAGACGAUAACAAUAUCCAUGUUCUAUCUGGCUGCUGUUCUAGAACAGCUUCUAUCCCAGUUCUAUCUGCCUGUUAAAUUAGUUUCUGGACCACAGGUUCUAGAACAGCUUCUAUCCCAGUUCUAUCUGCCUGUUAAAUUAGUUUCUGGACCACAGGUUCUAGAACAGCUUCUAUCCCAGUUCUAUCUGCCUGUUAAAUUAGUUUCUGGACCACAGGUUCUAGAACAGCUUCUAUCCCAGUUCUAUCUGCCUGUUAAAUCAGUUUCUGGACCACAGGUUCUAGAACAGCUUCUAUCCCAGUUCUAUCUGCCUGUUAAAUCAUCAACCUAAACUGUUUCCAUCAGACUAUUAGAACAUGACUGAACCUUUUGGUUCCUUUUCUGAUCUUUUACAACUUUGCAUUUUUAUGAUAAAUGUUACUGUUUGUGUUUGUACCACAGGAGGUUGGUGGGACCUUAAUUGGGGAGGACAGGCUUGUAAUGGCUGGAGGGGAAUAAGUGGAAUGGUAUCAAACACGUGGUUUCCACGUGUUCCAUUUCAUUCACUCUGUUCCAGACAUUAUUAUGAGCCGUCCUCCCCUCAGCAGCCUCCUCUGGUAUGUACUGUCCUAUAUGUGAGAGAGCUCCAACAAGGAAUUACAAUGUAUGUAUUACUUUGAAUACCUGCAAAUGGCAAAUAAACUACUAGAACUCCUUA